AUUCACGUCUCUGACUGUGAGUAUGGCUGAUUAAAUCAGCCAUUGUUGCUGAUUGUUGGGAAGGUGUAGUGGCACCCCUUAGGGUGUUUUCUGCAUAACGGGCAUCCUCAAAAGAUGCCC
Molecule: small RNA, 120 nt
Organism: Mastigocoleus testarum BC008
Lineage: Bacteria; Bacillati; Cyanobacteriota; Cyanophyceae; Nostocales; Hapalosiphonaceae
Rfam family: Nitrogen stress-induced RNA 9
Source: Rfam